AAUCAUCAACAUGCUUUGGGUGCAUUGUUUGUGGAUCACAUGAAAACUCCACAUUUAAGUGUGCUUAGGUGGGGGUAGUACGAAGAUGGGUUGCCUCAUGGGAGGUCUCAAUCGGUACAAC
This 121-nucleotide ribosomal RNA is filed under the name Helianthus annuus (common sunflower). Lineage: Eukaryota; Viridiplantae; Streptophyta; Magnoliopsida; Asterales; Asteraceae. The record is from RNAcentral.